Molecule: ribosomal RNA, 498 nt
Filed under: uncultured bacterium
Lineage: Bacteria
Description: partial 16S ribosomal RNA
Rfam family: Bacterial small subunit ribosomal RNA
Source: RNAcentral
AUUGAACGCUGGCGGCAUGCCUUACACAUGCAAGUCGAACGGUAACAGGCCGCAAGGUGCUGACGAGUGGCGAACGGGUGAGUAAUGCAUCGGAACGUGCCCAGUUGUGGGGGAUAACUGCUCGAAAGAGCAGCUAAUACCGCAUACGACCUGAGGGUGAAAGCGGGGGAUCGCAAGACCUCGCGCAAUUGGAGCGGCCGAUGUCAGAUUAGGUAGUUGGUGGGGUAAAGGCCUACCAAGCCGACGAUCUGUAGUUGGUCUGAGAGGACGACCAGCCACACUGGGACUGAGACACGGCCCAGACUCCUACGGGAGGCAGCAGUGGGGAAUUUUGGACAAUGGGCGCAAGCCUGAUCCAGCAAUGCCGCGUGCAGGAAGAAGGCCUUCGGGUUGUAAACUGCUUUUGUCAGGGAAGAAAUCCUCUGGGUUAAUACCCCGGGGGGAUGACGGUACCUGCAGAAGAAGCACCGGCUAACUACGUGCCAGCCGCCGCGGUAA